GGGUAUAUAGCUCAGUGGUAGAGUGCCUGCUUAGCAUGCAUAAGAUCCUGGGUUGAAUCCCCAGUACCUCCG
Molecule: transfer RNA, 72 nt
Filed under: Camelus bactrianus (Bactrian camel)
Lineage: Eukaryota; Metazoa; Chordata; Mammalia; Artiodactyla; Camelidae
Also listed under: 2 other names
Rfam family: tRNA
About the family: Transfer RNA (tRNA) molecules are approximately 80 nucleotides in length. Their secondary structure includes four short double-helical elements and three loops (D, anti-codon, and T loops).
Source: Rfam by way of RNAcentral